This 98-nucleotide signal recognition particle RNA is filed under the name Actinomycetota bacterium. Its description in RNAcentral is "Actinobacteria bacterium (freshwater metagenome) signal recognition particle sRNA small type". It matches the Rfam family "Bacterial small signal recognition particle RNA". Rfam says of the family: The signal recognition particle (SRP) is a universally conserved ribonucleoprotein involved in the co-translational targeting of proteins to membranes. Archaeal SRP consists of a 7S RNA and homologues of the eukaryotic SRP19 and SRP54 proteins. In most bacteria, the SRP consists of a 4.5S RNA and the Ffh protein (a homologue of the eukaryotic SRP54 protein). Lineage: Bacteria; Bacillati; Actinomycetota. The record is from RNAcentral.
GGUCGGGCCCUGCGCGACCGCAGCCCGUGAACCGAGUCAGGGCCGGAAGGCAGCAGCUCUCAGCGGACCUGUGGUGUGCCUCAGGUUUCCUGGCCGUC